AAAAAAGAUAUUAAGGGCCAUAGGUGGAUGCCUUGGCUAGUAGAGGCGAUGAAAGACGUAUCAGGCUGCGAUAAGCCUCGGGGAGCUGCCAAAGAGCUUUGAUCCGGGGAUUUCUGAAUGGGGCAACCCAGCAUGGUGCGAAUCAUGUUACCCUUUCGAGGGGGCGAACUCAGGGAAGUGAAACAUCUCAGUACCUGAAGGAAAAGAAAUCAAACGAGAUUCCCAAAGUAGCGGCGAGCGAAAUGGGAUUAGGGCUGUUAGUGAUAAUAUAUUUGUUAGGUGAACACUUUGGAAAGAGUGAGCAUAGAGGGUGAUACUCCUGUAACCGAAAACAUUUAUAUGGUACUAGAUUAACGAACGAGUAGGUCGGGACACGUGUUAUCUUGACUGAAUAUGGGGGGACCACCCUCCAACCCUAAAUACUACUACUAGACCGAUAGCGAACAAGUACCGUGAGGGAAAGGUGAAAAGGACCGCGGUGAGCGGAGUGAAAUAGAACCUGAAACCUAUGGCUUACAAUCAUUCGGAGCACUAUUGUCGUAAGACAAGUGUGACGGACUGCCUUUUGCAUAAUGAGCCUGCGAGUUGUGGUAUCUGGCAAGGUUAAUCGAACGAGAAGCCGUAGCGAAAGCGAGUCUUAAUAGGGCGAAUUAGUCAGAUGCUGCAGACCCGAAACUAAGUGAUCUAUCCAUGAGCAGGUUGAAGCUGGUGUAAGAGCCAGUGGAGGACCGAACGGGUAAAGGUUGAAAACUUUUCCGAUGACUUGUGGAUAGGGGUGAAAGGCCAAUCAAACUUAGUGAUAGCUGGUUCUCUCCGAAAUAUAUUUAGGUAUAGCCUCGAGCAUUAGCAUGAAGGGGUAGAGCACUGACAGGGCUAGGGCUGCUUACCGCGGUACCAAACCCUAUCAAACUCCGAAUACUUCAUGUGUAACCUCGGGAGUCAGGCGGUGGGUGAUAAAAUCCAUCGUCGAGAGGGGAACAACCCAGACUAGCAGCUAAGGUCCCAAAGUCUUGUCUAAGUGGAAAAGGAUGUGGAGUUGCUGUGACAACCAGGAGGUUGGCUUAGAAGCAGCCAUCCUUUAAAGAAAGCGUAACAGCUCACUGGUCUAGCGAUUCUGCGCCGAAAAUAUAACGGGGCUAAGACAAGCACCGAAGCUCUAGAUUUGAGAUUUAUCUCAAGUGGUAGGAGAGCGUUCCAUUCAGCGUUGAAGGUACACCGGUAAGGAGUGCUGGAGCGGAUGGAAGUGAGCAUGCAGGCAUGAGUAGCGAGAAAAGGGAUGAGAAUUCCCUUCGCCGUAAACCCAAGGUUUCCUACGCGAUGCUCGUCAUCGUAGGGUUAGUCGGGACCUAAGUCGAGUCCGAAAGGGGUAGACGAUGGCAAAUCGGUUAAUAUUCCGAUACCGACGGUUGUUCGUUUGAGUGAUGGGGGGACGCAUAGAGUUAAUCGAGCUCGCUGAUGGAAUAGCGGGUCGAAGGACGUAGGUCGAGAAGUAGGCAAAUCCGCUUCUCAUGAGACCGAGAUCUUACAGGCCGAGCAAUAUCUUCGGAUAGCGCUUGGAAUCGAUGAUACUGUCGUGCCGAGAAAAGCCUCUAAACGAGAACAACCGUUGCCCGUACCGUAAACCAACACAGGUGGGUGAGAUGAGUAUUCUAAGGCGCGUGGAUGAACCCUGGUUAAGGAACUCUGCAAACUAGCACCGUAUCUUCGGUAUAAGGUGUGCCCUGUUUGUUAGGAGAUUUACUCUCCAAAGCGAAUAAGGGUCGCAGCAAAGUGUCCCUCCCGACUGUUUACCAAAAACACAGCACUCUGCUAACUCGUAAGAGGAUGUAUAGGGUGUGACGCCUGCCCGGUGCUUGAAUGUUAAAUGGAUUGCUUAGCUUUGCGAAGGCAUGAAAUGAAGCACAAGUAAACGGCGGCCGUAACUAUAACGGUCCUAAGGUAGCGAAAUUCCUUGUCGGUUAAAUACCGACCUGCAUGAAUGGCGUAACGAGAUGGGAGCUGUCUCAACCAGGGAUCCAGUGAAAUUGUAGUGGAGGUGAAAAUUCCUCCUACCCGCGGAAAGACGGAAAGACCCCGUGCACCUUUACUAUAGCUUGACACUGCUAUUGGGAUAUUCAUGUGCAGGAUAGGUGGGAGCCAUUGAUUCUACGACGCCAGUUGUAGAUGAGGCAUCCUUGAGAUACCACCCUUGAAUAUUCUGAUAGCUAACUCCGUACAAUUAUCUUGUGCGAGGACAAUGUCUGGUGGGUAGUUUGACUGGGGCGGUCGCCUCCUAAAAAGUAACGGAGGCUUACAAAGUUCGGCUCAGGUGGGUUGGAAAUCCACCGUAGAGUAUAAUGGCACAAGCCGGACUGACUGUAAGACAUACAAGUCGAGCAGAGUCGAAAGACGGUCAUAGUGAUCCGGUGGUUCUGUGUGGAAGGGCCAUCGCUCAAAGGAUAAAAGGUACGCCGGGGAUAACAGGCUGAUCUCCCCCAAGAGCUCACAUCGACGGGGAGGUUUGGCACCUCGAUGUCGGCUCAUCGCAUCCUGGGGCUGGAGCAGGUCCCAAGGGUAUGGCUGUUCGCCAUUUAAAGCGGUACGCGAGCUGGGUUCAGAACGUCGUGAGACAGUUCGGUCCCUAUCUUCCGUGGGCGUAGGAACGUUGAAGAGAGCUGACCCUAGUACGAGAGGACCGGGUUGGACAUGCCACUGGUGCACCAGUUGUUCUGCCAAGAGCAUCGCUGGGUAGCUACGCAUGGAUGAGAUAACCGCUGAAAGCAUCUAAGCGGGAAGCCAACUUUAAGAUGAACGUUCCCUGAAGUACGCUUGAAGACUACAAGCUUGAUAGGCUGGGUGUGUACGCAGAGCAAUCUGUUUAGCUGACCAGUACUAAUAGUACGUUUGUCUUUUUUUUAGUUCACUACCUUGUUUAGUGUAUUA
Molecule: ribosomal RNA, 2922 nt
Filed under: Sulfurimonas gotlandica GD1
Lineage: Bacteria; Pseudomonadati; Campylobacterota; Epsilonproteobacteria; Campylobacterales; Sulfurimonadaceae
Description: LSU rRNA
Rfam family: Bacterial large subunit ribosomal RNA
Source: RNAcentral